UUUCCGUAGGUGAACCUGCGGAAGGAUCAUUAUUGUAUAAACCUGAUGUGGUUGUAGCUGGCCCUUUCGGGAGCAUGUGCACACCCGUCGUCUUUAUCUUUCCACCUGUGCACCUUUUGUAGACCUGGAUGUAACACUUUCCGAGGCAACUCGGUCGGGAGGAAUGCUGUCAGCUUUCCUUGAAUGUCCAGGCCUAUGUUUUCAUAUACCCCAAAGAAUGUAACAGAAUGUAUUAUUGGGCCUUGUGCCUAUAAACUAUAUACAACUUUCAGCAACGGAUCUCUUGGCUCUC
Molecule: unclassified non-coding RNA, 292 nt
Filed under: plant metagenome
Description: partial contains small subunit ribosomal RNA, internal transcribed spacer 1, and 5.8S ribosomal RNA
Source: RNAcentral